UGUAAAGAUGGUUUCUGUGGUAGUCUC
Molecule: non-coding RNA, 27 nt
Filed under: Mus musculus (house mouse)
Lineage: Eukaryota; Metazoa; Chordata; Mammalia; Rodentia; Muridae
Source: RNAcentral